This 465-nucleotide ribosomal RNA is filed under the name uncultured bacterium. RNAcentral's name for it is "partial 16S ribosomal RNA". It matches the Rfam family "Bacterial small subunit ribosomal RNA", at positions 28 to 507 of the family's 1533-position model. The record is from RNAcentral.
GACGAACGCUGGCGGCGUGCUUAACACAUGCAAGUCGAACGGAAAGGCCCCUUUGGGGGUACUCGAGUGGCGAACGGGUGAGUAACACGUGAGUAACCUGCCCUUGACUUCGGGAUAACUUCAGGAAACUGGGGCUAAUACCGGAUAGGAAUCCUUGCUGCAUGGUGGGGGUUGGAAAGCUUCGGCGGUUUUGUAUGGACUCGCGGCUUAUCAGCUUGUUGGUGGGGUAGUGGCUUACCUAGGCUUUGACGGGUAGCCGGCCUGAGAGGGCGACCGGCCACAUUGGGACUGAGAGAAGGCCCAGACUCAUACGGGAGGCAGCAGGGGGGAAUAUUGAAAAAUGGGCGGAAGCCUGAUGCAGCAACGCCGCGUGCGGGAUGACGGCCUUCGGGUUGUAAACCGCUUUCAGCAGGGGCGAAGCUUGUGGUGACGGUACCUGCAGAAGAAGCACCGGCUAACUACGUG